Molecule: long non-coding RNA, 34064 nt
Filed under: Ananas comosus (pineapple)
Lineage: Eukaryota; Viridiplantae; Streptophyta; Magnoliopsida; Poales; Bromeliaceae
Description: long non-coding RNA (ACOM_LNC016112)
Source: RNAcentral
AUAUAUAUAUAUAUAUAUAUAUAUAUAUAUAUAUAAGUUUAAAAAAUGUAACAUAACCCAUUAUUUAAAAUAUUGUAAUAUACAAUAAAAAUAUUAAAGUCUUAAAAUAAAAAAAUUAAAAUAUAAAAGGCACGCGGUAAGAAAUUAUGGUUAGAAUUUUAUGAUGGGUAAAUAAUAUAUAUAUAUAUUAAGAAAAUAUAUUUUUUAAUUAAAAUAUAUAUUUGCAGGUAUUCGUGGGUACCCGCAGGUUACCAAAAAUGUCCAUAACUUAAUAUAUACCAACCCGUUUUAUUCUUAAUUUUUUGGUUUGGAAAAGUUUGUAUCCAUAUACGUAAAUUUGUAAGUAACCUAUGAGCACCCGCGGAUAUGGAUCGAAAUUGUCAGGUCUAACGAGGACCUUAAAAAGAAUAUAGUCUUUACAAUUAUGAUUUUUAUAAUGUUUUAGGUGUAUGAGAGCAGGUAUAGACCAGGUGCAGGCAGUAAUUUCUCUGCUUAGCGGGGCCCACCCACGUGCAUUCCAGAUCUGGAUCCCGCGCUCCGCCGUAUGUCUUCCCAACGCGUGGGGCCCACCUCAUCCGACGUGGACGGGGGCUUUGUUUCUAUAGGUUUAAAAAAAAAGGAAAAUGUAUGGAUACCCCUCAGCUAUAAGCUAUUUACGAUAGAUAUUUUAACUAUUUUAUUUUUGAUUGGUACUUAUUUUAACUUUAAAUUAUUUUAACAUAAAAAUAUAUAAAGUAUAUUUUAACUUCUAUCUAAUCUUUAAACGUUUUAAUUUAUCAGCCAAUUAAUAAUUUUUUAACUUUAAAAAUUUAAAUACGCGACUCAUAUUUAUAUAUUUAAUUAAUAUAUUUUAUAUAAUUUAUGCAGCUAUAAAUUUAUUAAAGUUAGUAAUUAGUUUAAAUUUUAUAUUAAAAGAGUCAUCAAAUGAAUUAUUGCUACUUGAAAUAAUUGAAUUAACUUAUACUGAAACUCCAAUUUCAGUGAAUGAACAUAUUAUUUGAAAUAUCUUUUUAAUUUACUUUAGAGGCAUGUAAUAUUUGGUACAUUCGGACCAUGAUCAGAUAAACUGUAUAAUAUAUCAGCAUUUUAAGUUAUUUGGAAAAAAUAAAUUACCUUAUAGACAAAAUAUAUUAUUUUAUUAAAUCAUGAAUAUCAACAUCUUUAUAUAAAGCGUAAAUUUAACUAUUAGCUUCUAAUUAACCACGCACCAAAAAAAAAAAAAAAAAACUCACUAAGUUUUAUUGUACAUGUUACUCCAACAUGCAAACAUGAUCACAGUUCAAUAAUUUAGCGGGGGUGUUUGGUUUCUCAAAAAAUAUUUCAAAAAAUAGUUUUCUGAUUGAAAAAAUAUUUUUCAUCUUUAUGAAUUCUAAAAAAAAAAUAAUCUAAAAAUUUCUUUUUCCAGAUGACAUGAAAAAAUUAUUUUUUUUAUUUUACAAAUUUUCUAUCAGUAAAAUAAAAUUAUAAAAAUAAAUAUUUACCAUGAAAUUAUUAUUUUUUUUUAGAAAAUAGUUUUCCAUAUUUUUUUGAGAAACCAAACAGCUAGCUAGGUAGGCAAUAAGAACUGAAGCAACAGCAGUCUCCUUUCUGCAGGCUGCAUGUGCGAGCCACUUAUUUUUGAAUAGGAAAGGUGGCACAGAGAGGCACGUGAAUUAGUUGGUGCUGGGGACCAUGCUCAUGUUCAUGUUUUUUUUUUUUCUUUUAUUUUAUUUUAUUUAUGAUUAUAAUUGUUGAAUAUAAAAUAUAUGAAAUAUUAUUCUUUAGUAAUUUAAGUUUUUUUUUAAAAAAAAUAAUUAUUUUACAUUAUUAAACAUAGGAUUGACAAUCCAGCUUGCUAUUCGAGAGUCGGUUCAUAUUUGGUUCAAAAUAAGCUCGAGAUCGAUUAUCCGUUUAAUAAACACGUUUGAUGGUAGCCAAACUGUCUCUCUCUCUCUCUCUUUCUAUAUAUAUAUUAUACAUUAUUACUAUUUAAAUUUUAUGCUAGCUCAAAUGUCAAGAGAGUUAUAUUUUGUGAAUUUAAUUAUUACAUUAAGAUUCUAAUUUUUAAAUUUUUUUUUAACUUACCCAAUAGUAAGGCUAAUAAUCUAAUAACUUAUUGUUUGCAAGACAACUCUUAUUUAACUCGUUAAUAAAUAAGUCGAAUAUGAGUUGAACUUUCGAAGUUCAAUAUGUUACUGAACUACUUCGUGUUUGACUUGUUUAAUAAAUAAGAGAAUACAAGCUGACUUCAACUCGCUCAUAUUCGGCUCUUUGACAGCUUUAAUUUAACAUGUUACUAAAAUAAAAGUUUUAUUGAAUAUAUAUAUAUAUAUAUAUAUAUAUAUAUAUAUAUAUAGUUUAAAUUUUUUNAAUAUAAUCUAAAUUUAAAUUCAUAAGUUAGAUUCAAAAUACUUGAUUAAAUUUUAAUUUUUAAUUUAAGUUCAAAUUAAAAUUUAAAAUUAUAUAUUUAAUUUUUAAAUUUUAACUUAUAUUUUAAUUUAAAAAGUUGAAAAAAUAAAUUUAAUCCGAAUAAAUAUCCAUUCCGUCCGGAUUCAACUUUCAAUCCGAUCUCCUAGGCUGGAUUGAAAAAAAGGGUGAUUGGGGCAUUCCCAUUCCACUCGGAAAUCGGAAUCGGAAUGGGACUCCCGUGUACCAAACACCCACAAACGGAUUCACCCAUUCCGAUUCCGAUUCCAUGGUGAAAAAGAAGCGAACCAAACACGCCCUAAGUGUGUUAUUUAAUUUCUUCUAUCUUAUGAACUCAUCAUGAUGCGCAAGCAAGAGACCAAACUGUACAUGUUUCAUUUAGGGAAACAAUUUGAAGUCCCAUAUAUAGUAUCCGCCAUAUAUCUAUAUAUAUCUCCGUACGUAGCAUAUCAAAUCAUUGUGAUCUAGCUAGGCUUUUUCAGAAUCUUGUUCAGUAAAAAAAAAGUAAAUAAUAAUUUCCGCAAUGUUUCCUUUCGUUCUCAUAAAUUAUUACCUCCAUGACUUGUAAGUAGAAACGAUACAAUUUGAGCGGCCCUAGUUACUCCACAUGUAUGUACAGGUAAUGAACUGCUUGAUUGUGGCUCUUUCUCUCUUUUCUUUCUUUCUUUUUACAAUGACUGGAACUCUUACAUAUAAUUAUAAGGAGUACAAAUUAAUUGGCAGAGAGAUUCUGAGGUAGAAAUUCAUUUGAGGUACCAUAAAAGGAUGCAUAGCAAAUCUAUGUUCCAAUUACGAAGGAAUCCAAAUGAGUAGCUUUCGGAAAAGCGACAUGUCCUUUAAUCUCGAACUUCAACGCGCGCGAGUGCUCACCAUUGCUGUAGAAUAAUCUAUUCUGCGUGAUUUGUUGUUUUCGAGCAUAGAUUAAGAAGAACGAUUAUGCGGAAGCUAGACAAUGGCAAAAGAAGUAGCUACAAACUUAAAAAACUUAGGGUUAGAGAAGCACUUUGUACAAUUUGAGUGGCCCUGAGUCACCAUUUGUAUAGUUAAGUUACAUUAAUUUAUACCGCGCGUUUAAUUAGUAUCAAAUUUUGUCAGUUAGAUGACUUAACCAAUUGUCAUUGUCUGUGAUCGAACAAGGACAAUUAAUAAUCGAAUAUUUAAUGAGAUAAUGAUAUGGACUAAUGACUCAUGAAGGAGCUGUAGCUUCCACAAUGAUCAGUGGAAUCAUCUGGUAGUAUGCAUUAUGAAUAGUUAGCUCACCUUAUGACCUAACUGAGCCACUUCUAAUUGUUAUUUACCAAUAGCAUGCAUGCAGCAGGUAACUUUGAAAGAUUUACUUCUUUGAAUACCAUGCAACUUCAACAUUUUGGCUUUUGAUGAUGGCUUUCAAUUCUAGUUAGGAUCUUUAGGUUAGGUCAUUUUAUAUAAGAAAGUUUCAAAUUAUUUGACAACAUUCAAUUUUUUUAAAUUAUAAGUAAUACAAAGUUAAUGUCUAAAUUCAAAAUUUUGUUAAACAUAUUAAAUAUUUUGAAUUUAAAUAUUUACUAACAUUACAAUUUUUUAAAAAUAGUGACACAAAAUUAAUGUCUAAAGUAGAACAAUUUUAAUUUUUUUUAACUAUGGUAGAUAUUUAACUUACGUUUAACCCAAGUUAAUUUAAUAUGUGGUAACUGUAGGGAUAUUUUGAAAUAACGGAAGAAUAUAUGAGGGGUAUAUUGGAAAGAAUAAAAAAAGGUAAAGGUAAAUGAGAUAUUUUCGAAAUUUUAAGGGGUAUAUAGGCAAGUAUCCCUAUAUUUUUCUUGGAGCCCGGCCCGGCCCAUAACUUGCUCAGUAAAAAAGCAACAUUCAUUCACCUUAAUUAAGUUAUUGAUUCUUGUUUACUAAUAUAAUUAUCAUAAUAAAAUCUGCUAUGAGGAGUUAGGAGUAGGCUUAUUAUUCUGGGAAUACUUUUAAUCAUGUUAAUAUUGAAUAAAUGCACCACUACGCCCCUAGGCUAGAGCUGAUCGAAUCCCAGGCGAAGCAUAAAAAUUCAGAAGGGGAGCGUCUACAAGCAUCGAAAUAUCUACAAAACAGAAUGCAGAAGAACUAAAAUAAUAAGAGAGGUCCGUAUCCGGCUAUAAUGUUAUCAAUAGCACCAGGCACUUGUGCUACCAAGUUUUCUACCGUUAGAUCAUCCUUUUUGACUAUUUCCAUCCGUUCGAUCAUACUAUUCAACCAACCACAUCCACUCAACCCUAGAGGACCAUUAUUAUUCGAACCGUAUAUCGCUUCAUCUAAGAGCUAAAAACUUAAUAGCACCAAAGAGGUCCCUAACUGGGGACCAAUUUGAAAAAAAAUAUAUGUUUAAUAAUAGUAAAUUAAAUUCUAUCUAAUAGUUUUCAAACCAUUUCCCUCCAUAAUUAGGUUGACAUGCAAGUUAUGGGUAAUAAUUAAUUCCCCUCAUCAAGUGAUGUUUUCAUAUGGUUGCAAAACUUCUUCUUCUUUUUUUUUUACCUUUAUUUUCUUUCUUUGUCAUAAUAGAAAUUAUAGCAAACUUUUGUUCCAUUAACUUGGGACUCAAUUGAAUAUUCUGUUAUUUUGUGGUGAUCAAUUUGGUCCUAACUCCUAACCUCAUCAUGUGGGUUUUUAGGAUCAUAAUUUCAUUUAAUUAAGUAGGUUUUACGCGAAUAAAUGUGCCGACACUACAAGUAAGGGCGUGUUUGGUUCGAAGUCGGAGUCGGAAUCGCAAUCGGAAUCAAAAUAAGCUGGAAUCGGAAUCGGAAUGACUCAUUACCUAAUUCCGUUUGGUUCAUCACCUGAAUCGGAAUCGGAAUAAAUCAUUCUCAUUGUUGGUGUUUGGUUCAGGUGGAUAUGAAAAACGUAAUCAAAUUAAUAUACGAACGUUAUCUUUAUAAUAUAUUAAUUUGAAUUCAAAUUAAAAAUUAAAUAUUAAAAAUUUAUUAUCAAAAUUUUUAAAUAAUGUCAAAAUUUUAAAUCUAUUUUUUUAAAAAAUAAAUUAAUCUUUGAAGUUGAGUAGAUAAUUCAAAAUAUGAAACUAAAUUUUUAUUUAUUCAAAUUCAAAUUUAAAAUUACAAUUUAAAUUUUAAUUUGAAUCCAUAAAUUUAAUUUAAGUUUGAAAUAAAAUUUGAAUAAACUUCAUAUUUUAUAAUAUAAUUUAAAUUUAAAUUCAUAAGUUAGAUUCAAAAUACUUGAUUAAAUUUUAAUUUUUAAUUUAAGUUCAAAUUAAAAUUUAAAAUUAUAUAUUUAAUUUUUAAAUUUUAACUUAUAUUUUAAUUUAAAAAGUUGAAAAAAUAAAUUUAAUCCGAAUAAAUAUCCAUUCCGUCCGGAUUCAACUUUCAAUCCGAUCUCCUAGGCUGGAUUGAAAAAAAGGGUGAUUGGGGCAUUCCCAUUCCACUCGGAAAUCGGAAUCGGAAUGGGACUCCCGUGUACCAAACACCCACAAACGGAUUCACCCAUUCCGAUUUCGAUUCCAUGGUGAAAAAGAAGCGAACCAAACACGCCCUAAGUGUGUUAUUUAAUUUCUUCUAUCUUAUGAACUCAUCAUGAUGCGCAAGCAAGAGACCAAACUGUACAUGUUUCAUUUAGGGAAACAAUUUGAAGUCCCAUAUAUAGUAUCCGCCAUAUAUCUAUAUAUAUCUCCGUACGUAGCAUAUCAAAUCAUUGUGAUCUAGCUAGGCUUUUUCAGAAUCUUGUUCAGUAAAAAAAAAGUAAAUAAUAAUUUCCGCAAUGUUUCCUUUCGUUCUCAUAAAUUAUUACCUCCAUGACUUGUAAGUAGAAACGAUACAAUUUGAGCGGCCCUAUUUACUCCACAUGUAUGUACAGGUAAUGAACUGCUUGAUUGUGGCUCUUUCUCUCUUUUCUUUCGUUCUUUUUACAAUGACUGGAACUCUUACAUAUAAUUAUAAGGAGUACAAAUUGGCAGAGAGAUUCUGAGGUAGAAAUUCAUUUGAGGUACCAUAAAAGGAUGCAUAGCAAAUCUAUGUUCCAAUUACGAGGGAAUCCAAAUGAGUAGCUUUCGGAAAAGCGACAUGUCCUUUAAUCUCGAACUUCAACGCGCGCGAGUGCUCACCAUUGCUGUAGAAUAAUCUAUUCUGCGUGAUUUGUUGUUUUCGAGCAUAGAUUAAGAAGAACGAUUAUGCGGAAGCUAGACAAUGGCAAAAGAAGUAGCUACAAACUUAAAAAACUUAGGGUUAGAGAAGCACUUUGUACAAUUCGAGUGGCCCUGAGUCACCAUUUGUAUAGUUAAGUUACAUUAAUUUAUACCGCGCGUUUAAUUAGUAUCAAAUUUUGUCAGUUAGAUGACUUAACCAAUUGUCAUUGUCUAUGAACAAGGACAAUUAAUAAUCGAAUAUUUAAUGAGAUAAUGAUAUGGACUAAUGACUCAUGAAGGAGCUGUAGCUUCCACAAUGAUCAGUGGAAUCAUCUGGUAGUAUGCAUUAUGAAUAGUUAGCUCACCUUAUGACCUAACUGAGCCACUUCUAAUUGUUAUUUACCAAUAGCAUGCAUGCAGCAGGUAACUUUGAAAGAUUUACUUCUUUGAAUACCAUGCAACUUCAACAUUUUGGCUUUUGAUGAUGGCUUUCAAUUCUAGUUAGGAUCUUUAGGUUAGGUCAUUUUAUAUAAGAAAGUUUCAAAUUAUUUGACAACAUUAAAUUUUUUUAAAUUAUAAGCAAUACAAAGUUAAUGUCUAAAUUCAAAAUUUUGUUAAACAUAUUAAAUAUUUUGAAUUUAAAUAUUUACUAACAUUACAAUUUUUUUAAAAUAGUGACACAAAAUUAAUGUCUAAAGUAGAACAAUUUUAAUUUUUUUUAACAUAUUAAAUACAUUGAAUUUAUAUUUUUUUUCACCUACAUUCAAUUUUUUUUAAAUAAGUGAUACAAAAUUAAUGUCUAAACAAGAGGAAUUUAAAAGUUUAUUAAACAUAUUAAAUAUGUUGAAUUUAAAUACUUACCGAUAUAAAAUAUUUUUAAAUAGUAAUACAAAAUUCAUCUAACUUAAAUUUAAUUUUUUUUAAUUUAAAUAUUUAAUAUUUAAUAUUUAAUAUUUAAAUCCAACAUAUUUAGAAAAUAGUACUACUUCUAAUAUUCCUAUAUUUUAAAUUAAUGUUUAAAUUAGGGAAACACUAAAAUUUCUAAAAUAAAUGCCUGGAUUAAUGCCUAAAUUUGGGAUAUCAAUCAAUUCCUCAAAUUAGUGCAAAAUUAAUGCCUAAAUUUAGGAUAUCAAUCAAAAUUUUCUUUAAAUUUUGAUUGUUUAACUACAAAAAUAACCUGUAAUGAAAUAACCUUUUUACUUGUUACACAUUAAAAUUACAUCUUUACCCUCAAUUGAUCAACGGUUAAGAUCUUUUUUAUUUUUUAUAAAAUAAAGUACCGAAUCAUUUCUCAUAUAAAUAUUGAAACAACCAUCCUGUGGUAACUUAUUAAUUAAGCUAUUAGAGAGAACAACAGUUGCUUCACACAUUAUUUAACAUGUGAGGUGAUCCUUGCUUGAGGGGAAAUAUCAGAAUAUGCCUUUUUUUUAAAAAAAUAAAAGAAGAUGUUUUGGUAAUUUCUUAGCUUGAGAUGAAAGAUGAGCACACAGAAAAGGAUCGGAGCUUGUUUGAGAAGUUUCAUGGUAAAAGGAUACAGCUACAUAUAUAGGGGGUGUUUGGCCUAGCUUUUAAAAAGCGCUUUUGGGCUGAAAAGUGAUUUUCGGCUUAAUAGAGCGUUUGGCAACUCACUUUUAAAAUCUGAUUCUACUUUUUAGAAUCAGAAAACUGAUUUUGAAGACCUCAGAAUCAGAAGCAGAAAAAAGCUGCUUCUUGAAAACUGAUUCUGAUUUUGGAUUUAAACUUCAAAAUUUUAUUUUUAUUUUAGUUUUAAUAUUUAAAUUUAAUUUUAAUUUUAAAUUUUAAAUUUUAUUUUUCAGAUUCAUUUUAAAAUUUUUAAAUUUUAACUUUUAAAUUUUAAAAUUUGAAAUAUAGAUUUUAAAUUUUAAAUUUUAAUUUUAAAUUUCAAAUCUCAAAUUUUAGAUUUUAAAUUUUCAAAUUUUAUUUCAAAUUUCAAAUUUCAGAAUUCAGAUUUUAAAAUUUCAUUUCAAAUUUCAAAUUUCAGAUUUUAAAUUUUAAAUUUCAAAUUUCAAAUUUUAAAUUUAAUUUGAAAUUUUAAAUUAAUUUCAAAUUUUAAAUUCAAAUUUUAAAUUUUAAAUUGUAAAUUUCAAAUUUUAAAUUUCAAAUUUGACAAUUUAGAUUUUAAAAUUUAAAUGUAAAAUUUAAAAGUAUUGUAAUUUUACAAUUAUAAAUUUAAUCUUCAAAUUAUAUAUUUUAAAUUUUAAAAUUAAAAAUUUAUAAAUUUUAAUUUCAAAUUAUAAAUUUAAAUUUAUAAUUAAAAUUAAAAUUUUAAUUUUAAAUUUUAAAUAUUCAAAUUUUAAAUUUUUAGAUUUUAAAUAUUCAAAUUUUAAAUUUAUAUUUUAAAUAUUCAAAUUUUAAAUUUUAUAUUUUAAUAUUCAAAUUUAAAUUUUAUAUUUUAAAUUUCACAAUUAUUUUAAAUUUUAAAUUUAAAUUUUAAAGUUUAAAAUUUAAAUAUAUUUUAAAAUUAAAUAGCUUUCUAAAAUUUUUAAUUUGGCCAAACAGCUUUUUAAAAUCACUUCAGAAAAAAUCAUUUUAUCUAAACUGCGCGAACGCUUCUAACAGGUUAAAAAUCACUUCUACAAACCAAAAUCACUUUUUCAGAAUCAUUUUUCAAAGCUAGGCCAAACAGGCCCAUCAAUAAAAGUUCAUCAUACUUUUCAGAAAUCAUUUCAUGGUGGAUUAUAGAUUAUAAGCAGGAAUUUGGGGUCCCUUUCGGCUCUCUUUUGAACUCUUUUGUUAAAAGUUGCCUAAUUUUCGCUAUACAUUAUUACUAUAGCAGCGGUGUAGUAGCUUAGGCUUAUUACGGGAUGUUUUUUUUUUUUUUUUUUGAGAGACGAUAAAGUAGCAUUUACCCAUUUUGUUUAUUCAUUUUAAAAAUAAAUUUAGCUGGAAAUGUGAAUCAACUAGAAUUCGAACUUGGAACCUAUAUUUCAUUUAGGUGUUAUGUAUAAUAAUAUUUGCUAAACUUGCCUUCAUUUCGAUCGCAAACUCGUUCCUAGCUUCCUGGAUCAUAGAUCUUCGUAAGAAACUAAGAUCUGCUAGCUAUUUAUAAUAUAGUGCCUCCAUUUCUUCAGGAACGAUGAUAUAUAUUAAUAGUCCUAAUUGAUAUUGGCAAACAGAUCGAAAAUAGAUAUGUCAAUAUCGUAUUUUAUAUUUUAUGCUACGCGGAAGAGAAUAAGGAGAUAUGGUGUAUCGUGUGUGACAGAUAUUAAUAUGACAUGUCAUUUCACUCAUUGAUUUUGGUAUACUAAAGGAUAACACUAAAAUAGCAUGCACAUGCUUAUGUAAGUUUCCGAGUACGUACACGAAGAAGAACCAACUUGCAACUAAAGAUAGCAGAAAAUCUGAAGAAAGGAUGCUUUGCUGCUGUAAUGUUUGUGCUAGGGUUCGUACCCUGUUGGACAAUAGUUUGGAGAGAAGUUUGAUAUUUUGCACAUGAUGUACCAAAUAAAAGGUAGGCAUUGUAUCUUCUAAAUAUAUAAUACUAGUAAAGGCACUUGUGCGUCGUGGCGAAUUGAUUAUAUAGAAACAAAUAAAUAAAAAAAAGCAGAAGAAAGAAGAAACAAUAAAAGUAUAAGAAAAAUAAAAGAAGAAGCUAUAGAACAAAAAAAGAAAUAGCUAAAAAAGUAGUAACAACUGCAGAAAAAAUAUAAGAAUAAAACUAUAAGAAGGAUAAAAGAAGAAUGAAGGCAAAAAUUAUAAAAAUAAUAAAUUAUAUUUAUAGCAGCAAUAAAAAAUAAUAAGAAUAAAGAAGAAGCCAAAAAAAAAGAACCAUGGUAACAACAUUAACAAAGCCAAUAAAAGAAAAAAAGAGAAGAGAAAUAUUACGCGUGUGAAUCAUUUGUAAAAAUAAAUUUUAUACACUACAUUUCUCAAAUCUCAUUAUAAAAUUUUAAAUUAUGUUUUUUUUUUUUUUUACAUAUAGUCUUUUUAUAUGAUUUAAAUUAUAUGUAUUAAAUAUAAAUUUUAAUUUUAUAAUAUUAACACUUGCAAAUAAACUGUAUAGAAAAAAAAUGAGAAAGAACGAUUGAUGGAGAAUAAAAGAGACGGGGAGAAUUGCGUUGGAAUAAAAACAUAUCAACAUGAGAGGAAAAGAAGAAUUGGGUUGAAUUAAAGCAAAAAAAAAUAGAAAAAGAACCUCACUAGGUCCUGCACAUGUUUAUUGGAGUAACUCCCUACUCAUUUCACAUAUUUAUAUAGAUAGAAAUAAAAAAUAUAAAUUAAAGGUGUCCAAAAUAUCCGCUAUCCCAUACCCGACCCGGACUCUAUCCGGACCCGAACUGGACCCGAACCGGACCCGAUAAAAAAUGAAUAGUAUACGGAUAAAAAAAAUUACCCAUUAAAGUUUCGGGUAUGGGUCCGGAUAUUUUAUACCCAUACCCGAUUUGGACCCGACCCGAACCUAACUUUUAAAUGGGUAGGGUCUGGAAUAAUUUUCAAAUCCGGACCCGGACCCGGACCCGAUGAAAUAUCCAAUAAUAAAUAAAAAAAAAAUAAACUUUUGAAGUUGAAGGAUCAAUUUUAAUAUGACUUAUAGAUGAUGAGUCACUACGUAUUUUCAUCCUAAUGAAACCCUAGCCGUCUCUUUUACUCAUUACUUUUUUCUAAUUUUUUACUCUUUGUUUUCUACUCUUUUUUUUUUCAUUUUAUUUCCGCCAACAAUAUUUCAUUGUCAUCAUCAUCAUCAGUGUCAUCAUCAUCAUCAUCAGCGACAAUAUUUCUUUUGAAUGAAUUUUAUUGGACGGUACAACUUAUUAGAAUGCGAGUUUUUUUAUAGUGUGCUAUAUAGUUUGUCUAUUGACUAUUUAAUAAAGUUUAUAAAAAAAAUAUAUUUAUACGGAUAUCCGUACCCGAUCUAGACCCGAUCUAUAUCCGGUCUUGAACGGAUAGUAUACGGGUAGUCACUACCUAGACCCGCUCAAAUAGACCCGAUGGGUAUAGUAGUAACUUUAGUACCUAGAUCCAGACCCGACCCGAAGUUAAAUGGGUAGGGUAUAUAUAUAUUUUUGUAACCAUUUCUUUUUAGGGUAUGGGUACAGUAUAUUAAUUACCCAGACCCGACCCGGUCUACAGACAUCUUUAAUAUAAAUAAAUAAAUAUAGAUGGUAAUAAAUGUACUAAUUAAGGAUUGUCAAUAUUAAUAGAACUUAGUAUUUUACAACCAAAACGAUUUGAUGGUGUAUUAAUGCAGAAGGAAACCAACUUACUGAAAAUAAUAAUUUUUUUUCUCUAGAUAUAUAUUCAAAAUAAUAAUAAUAAUAAUAAAUUGAUUGGGACGUAACGGUCCCUAACUUCAAUUUGAUCUUCCUGAUGUGCUCUUCAAGUGAAUGUGUUGCAUGAAAUGGGACUUCAUUUGUUGGCGUAGUACUCGUGCAAUAUGUCAACUAAACAAAUUAUCCUAGUUAGUAUUUAGAAAGUUUGCAGGAAAAAUCUCUUAUCUCUAUGUAGAAAAAAAAAAAUCUUUUUUUUUAAUAAUGCAAUAUAUAAAAGAUUUAUCAAGCAGAAAUCUAGCAAGUAGGAUAUUUAAUCCCAUAGUAUAACAGAGAAUAAGCAAAGAUGGAAGCUCGUUCAGAGACCGGAAAGUAAUAAAAAAUGGGGAAAAGAAACCACUAUUCUCAGACAUAAUACACAAGAAUCCCCCACAUUCAAUAGCAAAGAAACAAGAAUAUGCAUCAACAAUUGAUAUUAAGAUAAGUGAGCUUAACAAAAUAAAAAGAAAUAACCAACUAAAAGAAUAAAAGCAAGAGAGUCAGCAAAUACAUACUCUUGAGAGUAAUGACAAGAGACAUUAAUUGUGCCCUCAUCUAUCGCCAGUUCCUCAUGUUGAUUUAACAUUUCAUUGCUAAAUGCAGAAUCGGCAACAAGAGGUGAUCUUAACCAUUGGUUUUGAGCCUGAAAUGUGUUGUUAUCUGCAUCUAAAAGAAACCUCCUUUAAGACUAACAUUACUGAACCAUCCAACAGAGCAAUAGUAUAUGAGCAAAAGNNNNNNNNNNNNNNNNNNNNNNNNNNNNNNNNNNNNNNNNNNNNNNNNNNNNNNNNNNNNNNNNNNNNNNNNNNNNNNNNNNNNNNNNNNNNNNNNNNNNNNNNNNNNNNNNNNNNNNNNNNNNNNNNNNNNNNNNNNNNNNNNNNNNNNNNNNNNNNNNNNNNNNNNNNNNNNNNNNNNNNNNNNNNNNNNNNNNNNNNNNNNNNNNNNNNNNNNNNNNNNNNNNNNNNNNNNNNNNNNNNNNNNNNNNNNNNNNNNNNNNNNNNNNNNNNNNNNNNNNNNNNNNNNNNNNNNNNNNNNNNNNNNNNNNNNNNNNNNNNNNNNNNNNNNNNNNNNNNNNNNNNNNNNNNNNNNNNNNNNNNNNNNNNNNNNNNNNNNNNNNNNNNNNNNNNNNNNNNNNNNNNNNNNNNNNNNNNNNNNNNNNNNNNNNNNNNNNNNNNNNNNNNNNNNNNNNNNNNNNNNNNNNNNNNNNNNNNNNNNNNNNNNNNNNNNNNNNNNNNNNNNNNNNNNNNNNNNNNNNNNNNNNNNNNNNNNNNNNNNNNNNNNNNNNNNNNNNNNNNNNNNNNNNNNNNNNNNNNNNNNNNNNNNNNNNNNNNNNNNNNNNNNNNNNNNNNNNNNNNNNNNNNNNNNNNNNNNNNNNNNNNNNNNNNNNNNNNNNNNNNNNNNNNNNNNNNNNNNNNNNNNNNNNNNNNNNNNNNNNNNNNNNNNNNNNNNNNNNNNNNNNNNNNNNNNNNNNNNNNNNNNNNNNNNNNNNNNNNNNNNNNNNNNNNNNNNNNNNNNNNNNNNNNNNNNNNNNNNNNNNNNNNNNNNNNNNNNNNNNNNNNNNNNNNNNNNNNNNNNNNNNNNNNNNNNNNNNNNNNNNNNNNNNNNNNNNNNNNNNNNNNNNNNNNNNNNNNNNNNNNNNNNNNNNNNNNNNNNNNNNNNNNNNNNNNNNNNNNNNNNNNNNNNNNNNNNNNNNNNNNAUAAAAGAGAAAAAUAUGCAGGUAAAAUAAGAUUCAUUAAAUAAGAGAAGAUUACACCUGACUCCUCUUCUGCACAGAGUAGCUACAACCCGAGCCCGGCCUCUUUCUUGAAUCUCUUCUACCCUUCUCUCGCCUUCUAUAAACCCAUAAAGAAGACAAUCAUCCACGCGCACCCGUGCACUAGGUGCACUCAGUAACUCUCUCUCUCUGGUACGGCACCUCCAGGCUCUCAACCGUACUCUCUCAAAAAAGAGAGCUACAAUGCCUAUUUAUAAUGCUCAACUUAAAACGUACCACAAUCCUAAUAUAUUUAGAAUUCAUACUUUAAUUAAUAUUUAAAUCUAUCUUAAUCAAUCUCUAAUAGAUUUAAAUAUUAAUCCUAAUCUAGUUAGAUUUAUCCUCUAAUUAAUAUUUAAAUCUUAAUUUAUCUCAAACAGAUUUAAAUAUUAAUUCUUAUUCAAAUAGGAUUUAACUACAAAUCUAACCAAAUCCUAACAUCUAAUCCUUUGCCUCUUUCGUUAGGAACAGUCGUUAUUUGUUGUUGCAUGGUUCAAAUUAUAAUUCGCCCUACUUUUAUAACUCUUUUUUUUUUCAUCUAUAGCAUAAUUAAUUGCCAUGGAGAGCAUAGUAAUAAUGUCCAAUUACUAAUAAAAGAAUGUUGCUUUCUCUGCAAGAGAUAUUGUCGGCACCGAAGUAUAUCAUCUUUCCACCUCCCAAGUCCCCAAAAAAUUCUUCAUAUAUGAUAAAAAAAGUCGACCACGUUGUAAUUAGCAUGCGCACUAAUUAAACAUUAAUAUUCUCUUUGCACACCAAAUGCCACUGCACGCACAUACGUUUAAACAUAGCCUUUUCCCUACAAAUUAUAAUUAACUAUGCGAAGCUCUUAAAAGCAAUUUGCAAGAGGGACCAGGGAAGGUGCUAACUUUUCCACCAUCCCCACCUUCAAUUAAUCCUCUAAUGGGGAAAGUUGGGCGAUUAUUUUCAUCUACCUAACAAUGCCGUACUCUCCUUGCAACCAACAAAAUCAUAUAUAUUACAUAGGCGAUAUCAAAUUCACUGCUAUAUAUUCAGAAGAACACGUUGAGGUAAGCGUUCACGCAAGCGUUGGCGCAGCAGUAAGAUUGCUUAUGUUUGAUACUUCUAGUGAAAACUUUUGACGAACUUUUUCUGUUUAUUUGGAUGUCGGAUAAGCUAUUCAGCAACUUAGAUUCUCUUUUACGCUCACAAUUUAUACAACAUCGAUCAUUUUUAGGUCAUGCUAGGAAGUAUAUAUGAAAGUUUUAUUAUGCAUACUUCUUUCGUCGAUCUGAUCAAAAAAUUUGUGCUAGUUUAUAUAAAAAGUGAGCACGAUUAGAUGCUUGAAAAGGCAUGCUAUAGUUAAACUUCCGAGUGAGCUUUCAGUAAGAUAUAUAUAUAUCAUUUUGUACACGAAAUAUAUUAUCCUACGAAAUCAUAGCUUCAAGAGUUUCCAAUAAGAUAAAAUCAAAUUCCUAGCUUGUAAUUAUCAUAUUUAAAAAUCUCAAUAUCACAUCGCAAGUUACUAUGGAAAAACAUAUUCUGAUAUUCAAAUAUAACAUUAAUCCCUUAUAAAAGUAUAGUUUAUUUGGAUAAUACAAUUCGCCGAUUUAUCUUAUUCUAAACAGCUGAUUUUUAAGGUCCUCAUUUAUCAGUUACCAUAUGUAUAUAUAUAUAUUGAGGUAAGUAAAUAAAAAAUAUGCUGAACAAAAAAAUUCAUGCAUCAUAUCUAGCUAGAACUGUAUAUAUUAAUUCUUCUUAGAAAAUAAAAUUUAUUAUCUAUCGAAGGUUAGGAACAAGUACAGAUAGAAUUAAUGUUCUGUGAUUUAGUGCCAUACUUUUUGCCGAACUAUCCAUCGAGAGAAAAUUUAUUACCACAAAGCAGAAGCACUUGUGCACUUACAAACCAUCGAAGUUCAUGCCCCCGCAAACGUCUAAUCGCUGCUUUGAUCUCUAUUAUUAUAUAAGCUCAAAGUGAAUGCAUGGGGUCUACUGCACACUCUAAUGCAAAAGAGCAAUAAAGGCCCAAAAGAAAGUGGGUGACAUGAUGUAAAACGGAUCUUUGUCUCUAUUAUAUAUGUAUAUAUAUGAGAAGAAGAUAUGUAGAUGGGGACUGAGGGGGAGUGAGAGCAUUAAUUUGUUCCUUAAUACUUUAUAUAUCUAUGGAGAUUCCAUAUACUUAUAUAUUAUAGGUGUAUUUUGUGUGUACUGCUGUAGUGCUGCUCCAUGAACUGUAUAGGAAGAUUCCAUAAUUAGAAAAGCCAACAUUCGACUCUUAAUUGAAAGCCGCAGCAUUCAUCCAAGCUUCUAUUCUUUUGUUUGAUGUGUUAGGAUUUGAUUAGAUUUAUAGUUAAAUUUUAUUUCGAUAAGAAUUAAUAUUUAAAUCAGUUUGAGAUAAAUUAAGAUUUAAAUAUUAAUUAGAGGAUAAAUCUAACUAGAUUAGGAUUAAUAUUUAAAUCUAUUAGAGAUUGAUUAAGAUAGAUUUAGAUAUUAAUUAAAGUAUGAAUCCUAAAUAUAUUAGGAUUGGGUACCUUCUUGAUGGAGCAUUAUAUAUAAUGCAUUAGAGUCUCCUUUUGAGGUGAGUAUGGUUGAGAGCCUUGGAGGUACCGUACCAGAGAGAGAAAAAGAGAGAGAGAGUUAUUGAGUGCACCUAGUGCACAGGUGCGCAUGGAUGAUUGUUUUCUUUAUGGGUUUAUAGAAGACGAGAGAAGGGUAUAAGAGAUUCAGAAAGAGGGCUCGGAUUGUAGCUACUCUGUGCAGAAGAGGAGUCAGGUGUAAUCUUCUCUUAUUUAAUUGAAUCUUAUUUUACCCGCAUAUUUUUCUCUUUUAUGAUUGUAUCAGCUUUUGCUGAGGAAACGGGUUUAUGGUAAAAAUUCGAUUUGAUGCUUCCGUUGCGGAAUCCCAACAAUCGAUAUCGGAUCCACAGCAGUCGGUAUUGGAGCGGGUUGCGGAUUCACGAGAUCCGGUACCGGGGCGAAUACCGGAUUCCCAACAAUUGGUAUCAGAGCCGAAGGUUACCGAUCUGUGGGAGAGAUCGACGGAGAUGGCCACAAAAUUCGAAAUCGAGAAGUUCAACGGCAAGAACAAUUUCGGAUUGUGGCAGACUAAAGUACAGGCAAUCCUCGUACAGCAAGAGUUAGACGAGACGUUGAACAGGGAGGAGGCGAAGCCGGCGGAGGUCACGGAUGCGGCAUGGACGAAGAUGGAGUGGAAGGCGUUGAGUACGCUUCAUCUAUUAUUAGCAGAUGAGGUUCUUUACAACGUAGCCAGCGAGACAACGCCGGCGAAGUUGUGGAAGAAAUUGGAAGAUCUGUACAUGACCAAGUUCUUGACGAACAGAUUGUAUCUGAAGCAGCGACUGUUUACGCUGCGGAUGCAAGAAGCGGCGAACCUACACGAGCAUCUAAACGAGUUCAACAAGGUGGUGGCACAGUUGACUAGCAUCGGAGUCAAUCUGGAUGACGAAGACAAGGCGUUGAUCCUACUAUCUUCGCUACCGAUGACAUAUGAGCAUCUGGUGACCACAUUGCUUUAUGGCAAGGAGUCCAUAAGCGUGGAGGCGGUCACGGCGGCGCUUCUCUCGAACGAGAUGCGGAAGAUGACUCAGGAGUCCGGCACGCAAAGUUAGGAUGUAGAACUGGUGGUGACUGCGAAGAAGGAGGCGAGAAUAUCGGCGACUGGAUAUAAACAGAAGAAACAGCUAUCUGAGGUAGAACGCUUUUACUGUCAUAGGAAGGGGCAUAUCAAGCGCAAUUAUUGAAAACUUCAGGAUGAUCUGAAGGAGUUAAAGCGACAGAAGGAGCAAACUGUCGUGAACCAGGACGAGACGGUAUCAGCGACGGCGCAGACAGCAGAGUCGGAGAUGAUCGAUUCUGAUGUGCUGUAUGCGGUGACCGGAGGUGCGAAAAUUUCGGACGAUGUGUGGGUACUCGAUUCGGCGUGUUCUUUUCACGUAUGCCUAGAGAAUGAGUCUUUUGCCACCUAUAAGGCGACCAAAGGUGGAAAGGCGCUAAUGGGGAACAAGACAGUGUGCAAAGUAUUGGGAGUCAGCAUGGUGAAAAUCCGAAUGCACGAUGGGGUCGUGAGGAUGCUGACAGGUGUGCGGCACGUUCCUGAAUUGAAACGGAAUUUGAUCUCGUUAGGCGCAUUGGACUCGAAGGGUUGCGAUAUUUUAGCUUCAGGUGGAGCUAUGAGGGUCCGAAAACGAGAUCGGGUCGUAUGCGAGGCGAACAAGCGUGGGAACUUAUACGUUCUGAACGGGAGCACAGCCAGAACGAGAGCGAAGACGGUUUGGGUUCCAAAAGUUCGCGGAUAUGCAAUUGCUCGAGACGGAGCGACGGAUGCGGCGACAUCUCGAGCGAAGGAGACAAGCUCAAAGUGGAGCUUGCAUGGUGAGCUCGACGUAGCGGUUGAAAAUUACAAAUCAAACCAAGGUGGAGAAUGUUAGGAUUUGGUUAGAUUUAUAGUUAAAUCCUAUUUGGAUAAGAAUUAAUAUUUAAAUCUGUUUGAGAUAAAUUAAGAUUUAAAUAUUAAUUAGAGGAUAAACCUAACUAGAUUAGUAUUAAUAUUUAAAUCUAUUAGAGAUUGAUUAAGAUAGAUUUAAAUAUUAAUUAAAGUAUGAAUCCUAAAUAUAUUAGGAUUGGGUACAUUCUUGAUAGAGCAUUAUAUAUAAUGCAGUAGAGUCUCUUUUUGGGGUGAGUACAGUUGAGGGCCUUGCAGGUGCCGUACCAGAGAGAGAAAAAGAGAGAGAGAGUUAUUGAGUGCACCUAGUGCACAGGUGCGCGUGGAUGAUUGUCUUCUUUAUGGGUUUAUAGAAGACGAGAGAAGGGUAGAAGAGAUUCAGAAAGAGGGCUCGGAUUGUAGCUACUCUGUGCAGAAGAGGAGUCAGAUGUAAUCUUCUCUUAUUUAAUUGAAUCUUAUUUUACCCGCAUAUUUUUCUCUUUUAUGAUUGUAUCAGCUUUUGCUGAGAAAACGGGUUUAUGGUAAAAAUCCGAUUUGAUGCUUCCGUUGCGGAAUCCCAACAAUCGAUACCGGAUCCACAGCAGUCGGUAUCGGAGCGGGUUGCGGAUUCACGAGAUUCGGUACCGAGGCGAGUACCGGAUUCCCAACAUGAUGCACACAAAAAGAGAGAGAGAUUGAUCUACAAAUUUUCUUAAAUCUUAUGUUCCCGUGCAUAGUAAAGAUCAGCGAAUCAUAUCAUGUAUAAUGAUAGAAAACGUAACCGAAAAGACAACUAGAUAAAUUGAUGGCAUUAGUUGACAAAUAUGAGAAUUAAACGCAGGAUGGCUUAGGUUUUAUUCUAAUAUCAUGUUACUGAAGAAUUCGCCCUAAUAAAAAACGAUUUAGGAAGAGUAUUAUUAAUAUUAUGUUUAGUUGUUAAAUAGUAUGUGUAUACAUACUUGUAGUAUCACUACAACAGAAUUAGGUUAUAGGGACAUAUGUUUGGGACACUUUUGAGUAAGUGUCUCAUUUAUCCUAAAAUUUAAAAAAAUAUCUACUAAUGCCUAUAUAUAAAGCCCAAUCCAAUAAAAAAUAAAAGAUUACUCUACUCAACCCACUACACCCAGUCCAUUUGGCCCGAUUACAAACAGAAAAGAAAAAAAAAAGAAAAAUCAAUUACCAUCUUUUCUUCUCUCUUCACUCAAUCCACUGAAAUUCUAGACGAAGAGCCUUUCCUAUUGUCCUCCUCCACCACUGCAGCCAACGAGAUAGAGUUUCGACGGUUGCUAAAUUCUUAAAUAAGUGUUGGUAAAUUAGCAGCACUCUUUUAGGUUAUAGCGACACUCUUUAACUGUCACUAUAUACCUAGCGACCCCACAUAUAGUAACACUUUUUAAAAGUGUCGGUAAUUUUAGCUAGCAGCACUUUUUGACAUAUACCUAAAUUUAAAAGUGUUGCUAUAGACCGUUUUUGUUAUAGUGUAUAUAUAGUAGUUCAUUCAUUUCAUUUGGUGUUGGCUCCAUUCGAAUUAAUUGAAGCCUCUUGAUUCACUAAGAUCACUAGAAAUGUAAGCUCCACUAUCUUGAUUUGCUUGAUCUAUGUAUCCAAUAUCAUGGUUGGAAUUAUAUUAAUUAUGUUUCCGUUCUUAUCAUUGGAAAGAGGCAAGCUUUGUAGUGUAGUUGUCGAAUAUGCAUGAUUAUGUAGUGAGUGCUCUAGUGGCCCUCAAAAGAGUCGCAAGUAAGAAGCAGCUAAAAUGUACGAAUAGUCCUUAUAAAAUACCGACAGUGUAACUUAAUUGGUUCCAAUUGAUAAAAUGUAUAAGAAUGCUCAAUAAUCCAUAUUCUAAUCAAGAAUUAAAAUGUCGUGGCAUCAGGACAUACUGGCCGUUACUUGGCACAAUACUGUGUGGCGACACAAGGCACUCUUGUGUGCCGACACAAGGCACUCUUGUGUGCCGAUGGGCAUGCGCGCGCAGCCUUCUAGCUAGUGGCAUGUUUUGGCAAAUUGCCAAGAUCCAUCCAAAAAAAUUACUAUAAAAUCUUGAUUUUUUUUUAAAAAAAAUUGUGAGAUCUAUUUAUGAAAAUUUACCAAUAAACUAUAUGAAUAAAUCGAAUUUAAAUAUCAAUUGAUUUAAUUUAGUUUUUAAUUUUAUUAAGAUCUUCAUGUUUCUCGAUCUAAUCAUUGAAUUUUCAAAGUUAAAAAUAUCAUAAAUUUCAUAAAAAUAUUAAAUUCAUCCAAAAAAUUAAAAAUCGGAUCAUAUAAUGACUAAAUCGAGUGAAUUUAUUUUCAGAUUUUAGUAAAUUGUAAAUAAAAAUUAAAGUGUAUUAUUUUACGCAAAAAGUUUAAAAUCUGUCAAAUAAGAAGUUUACACCUAGUGUGUUUGGUUUCACGUAAAACUGUAGAAAAACAAAAUUUCAGUGGAAAAAAAAUUUACGUCGUUUAGUAUUUAGUUUGUAGGAAAAGAAAAUUAGUUUUCUAUGACAGUUAUUUGAUUGAAAAGAAAAAUAUAAUAGAUAAAAAAAUAUUUAAUAUAUUUUUUAUUAUAUAUAUUAUUAAUAUUAAUAUAUAAUAAUAAUUAUACUAUAUAUAUUAUUAUAAUAAUUUCUAUUUAUAGAUUAAAUAUAUUUAAAAUUAUAAUAAAUAUAUUAUGUCACACCCCGGAUUACUCGUUCUCCGGGCGCGCCGACAAAUCCGCCGUAUACAAAGAAAUUUUCUCUGUAUACGAAGCGAUAGCUGUACCUGUAAAUCAUAUAAUACUACAAACAGUAGUAUAGAGCUGGUAGAAGAACCAAUAAUAAAAACAAACCGAGUUCCAUAUACAUACGCCAAAUCCAAGAUACAAUACUACUCACACUGGCGAGUUAAUAAAUGUAUGUACAUGAACUCCAACAAAAAUAACUACCUGCUGUAGGGGCACCUCUAGCUUGGCUCGUUGGGUAGGGCUCUAACUCGCAACGCCCUUGCCUCGAUCCUGAUCAGCAACAGCAGUAACCGAAGACGAUGGCUCUGCAAAAACGGGAUAACAACAGGGCGUGAGAACUACUGUAAAACAAAUAGUCCUCAGUGGGUGCCGCCCUCAACAACAUCGGUCCACCAACUAAGUCUACAAAAGGGAGCAAUGGUAGUAAUAAAUGCUGGAAUGAAAUCUAUAGCUAUCAUUUAUUACACUAUCAUGUUCUAAACUGACCUACUGUAAAAAUGUCAAUCCUGACCCAAUCUCUUUAAGGACUGUAAACAUACCCGUCCUAGAGACUGUGAACACACCCGUCCCGCUCAAUUGAAACUAUCUAGCUACCUCCACACUAUCCAGUCCGUGGAGAGCAGGUCUAACUGGCAUGAACGACACCAACACGAAAGCACAACACCCGUCUCCGAAGUGGCACUCGUGGGAACUACCCAACCGAGUAUGCAGUGUAUCUCUGUCGAGCUCAAUCAGGCUCUCUCAAGCCAAAGUCCAAGUAACCAACUCUAACUGGUCUAACAACCAACAGGUCACGUGCCGUCGGCACAAUCUGAUACCAAAAAGACGAUAUGGGUCCACCGUCAACCCCGACGGCAUCAAACAGUCCGGAACAGGCUGAACGUUACUGUAAAAAUACACUCGGCAUCCCAGCACGAGCAUAACUGAAAGCUAAACUACCUGGGGUACCCGUCGCCUCGAUACUGCGACGAUACAAAAUUACAACGGCUCCUAGAACUAAACAGGUAAUGUAAACAGGUGACAGGUCCAAAUCGCUGGUUUUCUCCUAAGUCAAGUUCCAAGUCCAACAUGUAUAUUUAUGGUUUACUAAUCAUGUCCUCAAUGCUGAUUUCAUCCAUGAUACAAUCAAUGAAAUUGAACUACAACAUGAUUUACAAAAACUGGAAAUCAUACAUGUCGACUAAUACUGUGCUUAGGAAAUAAACCGAUGUAACUCACCUUAAUUGCUAAUCCUGCCAACAAAGAAGGUCCCUCAACUGUGGGACACCCUGUCGGAACCAGCCGCACCUGCUUUCAGCUAGCAAAGAUCCACGAUCAAGAUCUAAAUAUCAAUUCCACUAAAAUCCACCAAAAAAAUCCAAUUUCAGCACUUAAGCUUGGAUUUCUCCCCACUCCAAUGUUAAAACUCAUCUAACGAUCUCCAAAUCAAGUGAGGACAAUCUCAAAUCCAGCAAAUACUGAUGGGUGAUGCAUCUCAGUUCCAAAAUCCCACUGCCUACAAAGAUAGCAUCAAGAAAAGCUCAAAAAUCUCAUUUUCAGCUCAAUAUCAACAGCAGUCCAGAAAAACCUCAGUUCGACCAAACUAAUCUCAACCAAAAUCUGUAAUUCAGGGCUUCCUGGAUUCCUCUGGAAGUCUAGAAUCUAGCAAACCAAGUUUCACCACGAUCCGACCUUCCUACGUCGCGUACGAGCCAAAACACUGGAGGCCGUCGCUGCAGGACUGCAGAAUCAGCACCUAUCAAGCUGGGAAUUGUGGAUCUUGAAGCAAUUUGAGUAGAUUUGAGGUUGAAAAUGCAAUUUAAGGGUUCACUGUGAAGAAUGGUCGAAAAGGCUUCACUGGGGUCAAGCUCCCCCUAUUUAUAGGGUGCUGGAAUGAUAAAAUAAGCCCCAGGUUCAAAAGCUGCUAACCUGGUGUCCCUGCAGAAACAGGCAUUUCUGGGCGCCCGAAACCCAAUUCUGGGCGCCCGAAACCUCCAGGCUGCACAAAUCUUCCUCCUCGGACUCUCCGCUCACGGUGUGCUGCGCCCGUAAACGGCUCCGACGGAUCUCACCUACCACCAGCCACGUGUCAACACAAACGAUAUUCACGAUGUAAAAUUUUCGGACCCACUUCUGGGCGCCCGGAAUAUAGGAUCCGAAUUGACUUCCAGUUCUGAUCAAAUCUGCACUCAACUUCUGGGCAACCCAAGACCUGUUCUGGGCGCCCGAAUCUGGCAAAAUUCCAGUUUUGCUUAUUUGAGUGCGCCGAGUCCAUUUCUGCAUCCAUUUCUUGCAGAAACGACUCCGACUCAGUUCGACACUCUCCAGAUGUAUCGACCAGUCACUAACAUUAAAGCCAAUCCUAUCCAAAGUUCAAAAACACUAUAUAUUACUUACAUAUAUAUAAUAAAAGGAAGGUCUACCGUGGACCUCCCUAUCACACGGUCCACGAGGCCGAAGUGGCCAUGUGGACCAUACAAAAUCGCUGUCAUGAUCCGUAAUUUUUUUUGCUGUCUUUUCGUUUUUCACGGCUCUUGCGUGGAAAUCAGAAGGGAGAAUUUUUCGCGUAUAUGUAAAAUUAUUAAUCAUGAAUUUUUUUUCUACGACGAACCAAAUAAGCCGCAAACUGAUUUUCCACAGAAUUUUUUUUUUUCAUCCACUUUUACGUCAAGCCAAACACACUCUAACCAUUUGUUAUCGAAACCCACGUACAUACUUUUCAUUUGCAGGUUCUACCAAAGUUGACAAACAAAAAAGGAGUUAGUACAUUUUGUCUUUAUUUCUUAACUCGUAGGGAGAUCACAAUUGUGCUUGUAACAAAAAUAAGUAUGAUAACAAUACAUGAUUGUUAAUUAUUAGGAGAAUAAUAUUAAGAAUAAAGCGAGGAAUUAAUAGUACAAAUUCUAGAGUUAGUUAGAAAACCAAUUUCAGAGGUUGUAGUUUGGAUGAUUAGCAACCUAACCUUUUUGUUCGCUUUGGCUAAUGCUAUUGAAAGGGAAAAAUUAUCCCCUCAUGCGAAUUGUGCCUUAAUUAACAUACAGUUUACAUUAAUUGAUAGUCAUAAAUUAAGCUACCGACUGUCCCUAGAGCAAGUGCCAAAGGGAUUUGUGAUUGGUACUCGAGACCCAAGUUCGAAUCCUAGUUGAUUCACAUUUCUAGCUAAGUUUAUUUCUAAAUGAAAUAAACGAAGCGGGUAGCGUGCUACCUAUCUCUCAAAAAAAAAAAAUUUAUUCUAUGAAAUACCUCAAUUCCGAUUCGAAGAUCGUGAAGACNACCUAUCUCUCAAAAAAAAAAAAAAAAAAAGAUAGUCAUAAAUUAAGCUUCAUUAAGGCUAAAUAAAGCCCUAGCAAGCUACUAUAAAAACCAAGCCUAAGUAGGCCCAUGCAGGAUGGAAUCCACUUUGCACCACUACUCAAGUUCAAAAAUAUAAAAAUGUAUAAGAGGGUCAUCCCAUUAUUUAUUGCUUGAGAUAUGCUUAAAGUUAAACUUUUUAUCUUAAACAGCAUAUCAUGGACUAUUAAUUAAUUCUAAUUUAAAAAAAAACAACCUUUGUCGAAUCAAUUUCAAACACUUGGUGUAAAACUAAGGGCUUGUGCAGUGCUAGUUGACGAAGUGUUAUAAUUUUGAGCAAUGCUUUUGGAGGAACGCACUAGUGAAAUCUCUAGAGGUUCAAAUUGGGUCUUUAAAUAUAACUUUUCGCAUCCCGCGAUAGCAAAACUUUUCUGCUUCGUGACAUAAUAUGACAUACUAGGAUACUACUAAUUUUUUUUUUUUUUUUUUUUUUUUUUUGCAAUUGAUAUUUAUGGGCUUUGUUUGACCUGGACUAAUUAUGACGCACCUCUGAACUUGUCUGUAAAUUUUGAGAUUUAAUUGUCCUUUAACUCANAAAACCUUUUCACACUUGAGAAUUACCUAGAGGAUGGUGGAUGAGGUAAGAGGAGAGUGGCUAAAAGAUAACUUUAUUCUCUCUCUUUCUUUUUUGAUGCAAAAAGCAUAAGAAUGUUGUCCUUAAGUCAAACUUGAUAUAUAACUUAGUUUGGAAGGAGAAUGUUUCUCAAUCCCUUGCAAAAGUUUUGCUAACAUAGGAAGGAAUAACUCACUUUGUGAUACGUGGGCCAGUUCGAGAGAUUAUAAAAUUCUGAAUCACUCAUUGGGGUUCUUAUUUUAAACUAAUUAAGCAAGCACUUUUAUAAGUUGUUUACAACACCUUUAAUUACAAAGGGUGAAGCCAAUAUUAUCAAAGUAAAUGCUUGGGUCGAUUCUCUCAUUGUAAAGUUGCUUAUAUAUUAUUAAUGUGUUGAUAAAAUUAUAUAAUCGUUUUUAAAGUUAAAUUUUAAUUUGCUUCAUUGUGGUAUAGUGUAUUUUCAUUUUGUCACUCCUAUGAUUUAAUUUUUUAUUUCAAUGAGAAAAGCCUAUUGACGGAUAUGAAAAUAAAGUAAAAUAUUUUGAAAAUCUCAAGGUGGUAAUCUAUUUAACAAUAGAUUCUUAUAGUGAAAUGAAAAUAAAAUUACAAAAUAAUUAAGUGUAGCUUUUUAAAAAACCUGAAGGCGGUACCUGUAGCAAUAAUUUAUUAUCAAUGAGGAUACCAAGCAUGCAUAAACCAUAAUAACAUAUCACCCACUACAAUUUUAAUGGAUUAGUAGUGGUGUCUUAGUCGAAUUGUAUAAACAAGAUGCCCUACUACUCUUUUUAACCUUUUAAUUGUGAUUCACUUUAAUUUUCCAUUUAAUGAUUUGUAUAUUAUAUGUGGUGUGGUCUGUUUUGUCUUCACCAAAUCAAAUAAUAGUUAUUUAAUUAACAUAACCAUAUUCUUCAUCGUGCUGUAAAAUUGUCUCUGCUCAAUUCUCUAUCCUUUCACAAGUCCCCUAAUUAAUAUAAUUCCGCGCAUCAUGCAUGCAUUCCUACACCAAAUAUAUAUUUGAAAUAAACAAAACAAAUAGCGUACUAUCUAUCUGUUGAGCCAGUUAGGCGCGAACAGCUGGCACACCGGGUCCACAUCCGUAAGAUGGCUAAAACGGUACACCGGACGUAUACAAGCAGUACUGGACCGAGGAGUUAUAACAACCGCAAGCAGUUACGAGUGGUUCUGAUCGGCCGAAGAUGGUCCUACGAAUCAGGAGAUAGUGGCUGAUCAUGCAAGAGCAAUAACUGACGCAAAGACGGUUCUAUAAAUAGGCAUACGAUACCCUGAAAAAGGGUCUUCGCCCCUGCGCAUAAAAGACCACAUUUAUUUUUCUGCAUCUUUCAAUUCCCGCAUCUACUGUUUUUCCUUAGGAGUAGUUCCUGUAAUUUAGCAUACUCGGAGUCUGUCUGUCCUACGGGCAUCACUCCCCUGUUUCCAUACUCGGAGUCUGUCUGCCCUACGGGCAUCACUCCCUUGUUUGUGUACUUUUUUCUUGUGCUGUUCAAUAGAAAGUCAUCUUCAGCUCUUCCUGCCGAUCAAAUCACAAGUUUGUUUGGCCAUUCGGCUCGUUUCUUAGUCGAAUUCCGGGCUUCCCCUCUCCAUUCGGCUCAUCCUGCCGAAGCGAAUUUACUGCGGAGGUUUUCGAACCCGGCUGAUUCGAUUCCUCAUCGGCUUAAUCGCUUGAUCCUCUAUAGGCGCAUAUUUCAAGGGUCAUAAUCCGCAGCCGUCUAGCAGCCCGACGAUCUUCCCGAGGAGAAUUGUUGACCGGGUCAAGAGUCGGGACGUUCAGCACGCAACACUAUCUCUCAAAAAAAAAGAAAAGAAAAUAGAGAGCAUGUGAAAUAAGGGAGCUUUUUUUUUCUUUUUUUUCCCUUGAGGAAAAAUAAAGCUAGCUGAAUUUAUUUAAGACUUGUUUAAUUAGUCCUCAUUAUGUAGGAAUUAAGAACAUAUUUGGUUCCAAGGAUUUAAGGCUUGAAAUGAAAAUCAGAAUGACUCAUUACUAAUAAUGUUAGUGUUUGGUUUGGCAAUUUUGAUUUUCAUUUUCCGGAGAAAAUUGAACCACACCUAAAGUUAUUCCCACCAAAAAUUACUCCCACCGUAGAGGUGAGAGUCAACUUUGAUUUCAAGAAGGAUCGAGAAAAGAAUUUCUUUUUAUCCGCUAAUAAUUUUUAAAAUUUAAAUAUUAAUAUGUAUAUUUAAUUUUAGAAAAUAAAAUUCUAAUUUUAAGUUUGAAUUUGAAUUAUAAAUUCAAAUUUUAAUUUUUAAAUUUUUUAAGUUCAAAUUAGAUUCUAAUAUAAGUUUGAUAUUUGAAUAUAGUUCUAAAUUUAAAUUUUGACUUUCUACUUGACUUUGAAUUAAUUAUAAAUUCAAAUUUUAAGUUUAAAUUUAGAUUCAAAUUUUGAUUAUGAAUUUGAAUAGCAAAUUUAAAUUUUAAAUAAAAUUUAAAUAUUUUGAAUUUUAAUUUGAACUUGAUUCUGAUUUCAUCUUCUCUUAUGAACCAAACAACUUAGAAGUUUUUAUCAUUAUGUUUUUUAUUACGGCCCAUUUUCACUUAAACCCACAUAAAUGUGGCAAUUUUUUUAUCAUAUACUCUAUAGAAACGAUAACAAAUUUUCUGAUGUUUUGUAUCUCCCUGGUUUAUGUGGUCUAUCUCUUAUUGUAAGCAUGUAGCCUUGUAGAUCAGUAGUAGGAGAAACUUCAAAUGCCCCACUAUAAGAUAGUGCAUUUGUGUAGUAUAUAAUUAUAUUAUCUUUUGAAGUUGGAUGCUUUGUCCUUAAUUUCAUGACCUCAGUGUUAAGUUUUUGUUCAAUGCUCAUCCAUAGAAAAUCAACAAAGAUUUAUUGCUUAAAAAGAAUUAAAGAGUGAUAAAAUGCAAAUUACAAUAUGGUACAAUAAGGUAUUUUACUAUUUUUUUGAGAAUAUACUUCAAUUAUUAAUACUUGUAUUUUGAAUUACAGAAUAUUAGUUGUUGAUAAGCAGCUAUACCUGACCAAGGGUCUCUUUGGCUUAGUUGUUAGAACAGUAAUUUUUGCUGAAUAAAUUUUAGUUUGAAAUUUUGUUUUUAUUUAAAAGUUGCAUAACAUUUGGCUGAGUUUACCAAAAAAGUAAUUUUUUUGGAAGUGAUUUCAUAAAAUGCUGGUAGAUAAUUUUUUUUUCCUACUUGGACAUAAUAAUUUUUUUUGCUAAAUUUUAUUUAAAUAAAAAAAAGAAUAUAAAUUUUAAAUUCAAAAUUAUAAUUUAAAAUUUAAAAUUAAAAAAUUUCUAAAGCAUCAGAUAGUCUUAAUGAAGAAAAUUCAAUUAUUUUAUAUAUGAGACUUAGUGUCUAAAUUUUAUAAUUUCUCAUACAUACAUAGGUCAUUUAAAUAUUAAAGAAUACAUACAAUAAGUUAAAUUUUGAUUAACAAAUCUUUUCCAUACCAACCGUCCCUAGAGCAAGUGGCAAAGGGCUUGGUGAUUGGUACCCGAGACCCAAGUUUGAAUUCUUUGAUUCACAUUUUCAGCAUAGUUUAUUUCUAAAUGAAAUAAACGAAGCGAUAGCAUACUAUCUAUUUCUCAAAAAAAAAAAAAAUCUUUGCCAUAAUUUUCUAGAGAUAUGUUCUAUAAGAUAUACUUGUACACUCGGCGCACGCAGUACUUUUUCGGAGUGGUGAGGCUCGGUCUAUACAUCGUAGCUCGAAAUCGUCAACUGUUUGGGUACGUCACACAUUUGUUACGUGAAUCGAGAUCACGAAAAGAAGGGGUUAAGAACAUUUGUUACGUGAAUCGAGACCAUGAAAAGAACGGGUUAAGAUUUUGCAUGCCAAAGCACAGAAAACGUUAUUAUUAGAGAAAUUAGAUUUCCACAUCCAAAUCCGUAGGUUUAAACCUGAUUAGUUACCUAAAACAUAGAUUCACACAAUUUUCUGAACGAGAAUGAGAUCGCAAAAUACCAUUUGUUUGACAUGUUUUAUAGGAGUAAGUACCAUUAACUUCUUGAAACAUAAAAUAUAAAUAAAUAGAAAUAUUAGAUACGCAAACUCGUAUAAAAUAUGUGGAAAACAAUGCUACCAUACUAUCGUAUAGGGACUUAGAAUGUUAAAAUCUCUAAUUCACACCAUUAACUGUUUGUGAUAUUAUCUACCUUGUGAUCAAAUAUUCAUGUCAAAAUGAAAGAUACAAAUUGAACCAUCCUUAAAAAAUAAGGAUAAUUUUUUUAAGACUAAAUUACAGAAAUUCCUCCUGUCAAAAUCCGAUUUUUCACUUUUCCCCCCUGUCAUUUAAAAACCUACACUUUGCCCCAUUGUAAAAUGAAAAAUGUGCACUUCACUCCCUACCGUUAGUGAUCCGUUAGGCUUUCGUUAUAAAAUAUUUUUUUAUGCCAAAAAUACCCCUCUGCCCUCUUCCCUGUUACUUUGCCUCCCUCCGGCUCGCCGCUUCGCCGCCGCCUCACCCUCCUCCACUGCCUCGCCCUUGCCCUCGCCCACAUCCCCUUCGCCCUCCUCCAUCGCCUCGCCUUCGCCCUCAUUGCCCUUGCCUACCUCUCCAUCAGCGCCCACCUUGAUUUUCUCCCUACUGUCACCGAAAGCGAGGGGCGGCGAGGGUGCAGGAGGAGAAGGGGAGCAGGUGGAGAAGAAAAUGGAGAGAAAUCGCGGCGGAUCGAGGUGUGAAUCGUAGCCGAUCGAGGCGGCGAUUGAGAAAGAUGAGGGAGGAGACGAAAAUGGUGAGAGGCAAAAUGGUCAUUUUACAUACCGUACCUUCCUGUGAACAUUUUUCAUUUUACAAGGGAGCAAAGUGUAGGGUUUUAAAUGACAGGGGAAGUGAAAAAUCGAGUUUUGACAGGAGAGUUUUAUGUAAUUUAACCUUUUUUAAUUCAAAAUUAAGAAUGUUUAUCUUGAUCUAACUAGCUUCUUUGUCAUUGAAAUAUUAUAUUGUUAAGAUAUAAACUCAUCAUACUAGUUAUUGAAAUUUUGAUAAUUUUGAGAUGUUAUUGAAGAUUUAGCUUCUUGGUUAUUUGGGGAUCUUCUUGGCUACUUGCCUACUAGUGACAUUUCUUGUUUGUCCGUUGCUAGAUCUUUGGUUAAUUAAUUCUCCAUUUUAUAUCAUAUAAAAAAGAUAUAUUUUCUUUCCCACAUCUCUCUAUCUCUCUCUCUUUUUUUCUCUUACCUAAAUCGCUUGUAAUUCGGAUGAUUACGAAUUUAAACUUCAAUUGGAUAAUAAUUCGAUUGGCGGAGUUGUUGCCAAAAGAUUAGGAAACAGUUAACAUGUCGUCCUCGUAAGGCACAUAGUUAAACAUCAUGUUAUCUAUAUAUAUAUAUAUAUAUAUAUAUAUAUAUAUAUAUAUAUAUAUAUAUAUAUAUAUAUAUAUAUAUAUAUAUAUAUAUAGUAAAAUUAAAGUACAAAAUCCAUCUGCAAGAUCUUAUGAAAGGUACCAUAGAAACUCAAAGUUACCCUACCAAAGAUUAAAAAGGGAAUAUUUUUUGCACUGAUUCUAUUUCUCUAUAAUAAGAUUACUUCAUCUCGUAUGCUAAAUUAUUCCUUUUUUUCUUUUUUUUUAAAUAAAUGUUCACGGUACUAAACACAAAGUUUAGGAUAAUAAGCACAAACUGGGCCCACGCACACAUAAAAGUGACACCGAGAGAAUAAUAUAAAUAGGCCAACAUAACCCAACAUCAUAACUCCCGAGCUUUUCCUCUCUCUCUCUCUCCCUCUCUCUCUCCCCUUUGUAUUAUAUCUUUCUCUACACUUGGAUCGAUCGUUCCACAUGAAGAAGAUAAUAUCUCCUAUUUUGCGCUAAAUCCGGAGAAACCCUUCUCAUUUCUCUCUCAUUCUAUCCAAAACAAAUCCACUUGCGGAUAAGUGCCACGCCCGAAAAGCAAAAAAAAAGAAAAAUCUAUCCCAACAAAGCGAAUUAAGCACGUAAGAGGGUGUUACGAAUAUCCCAGCACACCAUGAUGAUCCCAACAUAAGUAGAGGAAGCCCUAGCUAGCUUGCUACUUCCUUAGCACCUAUUUGAUCCAUGGAUUGUUGGAGGGAGUCGGAGGGCAAGCGCGUGCAUGAUCCCCUAUUCUACCAUUUUCCGACGACGGAUAAUAACAACACCGACGACGACAAGGACGACGAUGAUAAAGAAAGCGAAAGCGAUAGCGAUUGCGACUGUGUGGCUGUGGAGGGGCCGAUAAUAGUCGGGGCGGGGCCGUCGGGGCUGGCGGCGGCGGCGUGCCUGAAGGAGAAGGGGAUUCCGAGCCUGAUACUGGAGCGGUCCGACUGCAUCGCGUCGCUGUGGCAGCGGAAGACGUACGACCGGCUGCGGCUGCACCUGCCGAAGCAGUUCUGCCAGCUGCCGCUCAUGCCGUUCCCGUGCGGGCUGCCGGCCUACCCAACCAAGCAGCAGUUCGUCGCCUACCUCGAAUCCUACGCCGCCCGCUUCGCCAUCCGCCCGGCCUUCGGCGUGGCGGUGGCCGACGCCUCCUUCGACGGCCAGUUCUGGCGCGUCAGGGCGCACUGCUGCAGGCCGGCGGCGGGAAAGAAGACUCGGGAGUACGUCGGGAGGUGGCUGGUCGUGGCGACGGGGGAGAACGCGGAGCCGGUGGUGCCGGAGAUCGCGGGGAUCGGGGAAUUCUCCGGGGAGGUGCUCCACACGAGCGCAUACCGCAGCGGCGAGGCCUACCGCCGGAAGCGCGUGCUCGUCGUCGGCUGCGGAAACUCGGGGAUGGAGGUCUGCUUGGAUCUCUGCAAUCACAAUGCCCAGCCCUCCGUCGUUGUCAGAGACACGGUCAGUAGUUGCAUGCGUUCACUCACCUCCACUACUCUUCCCAUUUAUUAAUUUUUUUUCACAUGAUAAUUUUGUUCUUAUAGUUAAUCAUUGACUAGUUAGUGCGCAAACUCUUUCUUUGGGCUUGUGAAAUUCCAUGUAGAUAGCUAGAGACAUAUCAUGGAUAAGUUCCUUUGGCUCCAACGAAGGUGUAUUAACGAAAGUGAUAUGAAGGCUCAAUUUGAGUCGUUCAUUUAUUGUACCUUUUUAUAUCUACUGUUAUAUAAUUAUGUUUAAAUAGGAGAGUAAUGAAUUGAAGUAAGCAAUUAGAUUUGCUCUCCUACCCCUCCCUCUCUCUCUCUCUAUUGAUAUUAUAGUAUUUUCUUUUUUAAUUUUCUUUUCAACGGGGAAGUGGAUACGGAAGUUAGUUUUGAUCAAUAAAUAAAACAAUCCGAAAUAAAUUAAUCAUUAACCCUUCCAUACAGUGCAGUGAUUGACUUUUUCUUUUUUAAGAAAGGAUGGUAGCAUGCUAUUAUAUAUUUUUUUUAAAAAAAUAAAUUUAUCUGAAAAUAUAAAGUAAUUAGAUUUCAAAUACGAAAAUGUUUAUUUUUUUAGAAAUAAAAUUAUUGUAUUAUUGUUUAAAUAAGUACAACAAACUCACCUAUUCUUAUUCUAAAAAUAAUAACUCCAUUUUCGUAAAAAUAAAAUAAAAUAAACAUGGCCUAUAGUAUAGCAUGCGAAGAAAGAUGGAUUCGCCAUGGCAGGCCCUUUUCUUAGUAAAUCUCCACCCUUUAUUGGGAUUUGGGAUUCAUCCUCACGCGUCGGAGCCGCGCCUUAAUUCCUUCAUUGUCUCGUGCAACUUUUUUUUAAAUUCUUUUUUUUUUCUCGCUUUAAAAGCUGUACAAAAUAUCAUAAAAGAUAUUGCACCAUUACCAUUCUAUGGGCCCCAAUUUCGCCAAGAACAAAAGCAAUUGAUCUCAUACGAAGUACCAACAAUCUUUUAUUUUUGUAAGCAAUUUGGCUUAUUAAAUCCACACCCUCCCCUUGUUUAAUUACUACAAUAUAUAAAGAUUAAUUAGUUUAGAUAAGAUUAUAUGGAGACUGCACCAAACAUUUUAAUUCUUUCUUUUUUAAGUCUAUGAUCAUCUUUGCAGGACUCCUUUUUUAUCUCUCUUUUAAAUAUCAUUUUUUUCAUUCCCUUUUAAUUAUUUUAUAUAAUUUUUUUUUUGCAGGUGCAUGUCCUACCCAGGGAGAUGCUGGGUAGCUCCACUUUCGGGCUGUCAAUGUGGCUCCUCAAGUGGCUGCCCAUGCGGGCAGUGGAUCGGGUGCUCCUCCUCGUGGCUCGUCUAAUGCUCGGCGACACGGCCCGGCUCGGGCUCCCGCGGCCCCGGCUCGGCCCGCUGGAGCUCAAGUCGCUCUCCGGCAAGACCCCCGUCCUCGACGUUGGCACCCUCGCAAAGAUCAGAUCCGGAGACAUCAAGGUCUUCAAUUGAUAUGAGCAAAAGUUUUAAAUUAGAGCUUCUUAUUAUAAGCAGGAAUGUUCGGAAGAUUGUUAGAAAGAUUCUUAUUGCACUACAGGUGUUUCCUGCAAUCAGGCGAUUCACUGAACAUGGAGCGGAGUUUGUAGACGGGAGAUCAGAGGACUUCGAUGCAGUUGUUCUAGCAACUGGCUAUAGGAGCAAUGUGCCUUCUUGGCUAAUGGUAUUUUUUUUUUUCUUUUUGAGAUAAAAGAAGCUUCGUUUAUUUUCAAGAAAUGANAACUGGCUAUAGGAGCAAUGUGCCUUCUUGGCUAAUGGUAUUUUUUUUUUUCUUUUUGAGAUAAAAGAAGCUUCGUUUAUUUUCAAGAAAUGAAAUGAACUCAGAUAGAAUAGAAAUGUAAGUCAACUAAGUUUCAAACUUGGGACUUUUAAGUAUCAUCUAUCAAGUUCUUACCUUCUUUUUGAUUACUAGUAAACAGAAAUAGAGAAAAAGUAGUAAUGAAUAAAAGUGUUUAGGAUUACAUGUCAUCUUGAUUUGGAGACGUCCAAUAUUAUUCUAUAGCAGCUUUAUACUUUUAAAGGAAAAAAAAUUUGCUAUAUCUGGUUCAAAAUGUUGUUUCUGUAAAUUGUUGAUGUGCUGACACAUUGUUAACAGGAGAGGGAGAUGUUUUCGGAAAAAGAUGGGCUACCGAAGAAGCCCUUCCCGAAUGGGUGGAAGGGGCAGCACGGUCUCUACGCCGUGGGUUUCACGAAGCGCGGCUUGUUGGGCACGUCCAUGGACGCAGCGCGGAUCGCCGACGACAUCGAGCAGUGUUGGAAAGUUCAAAAGGCAAGCCAGCUUGUUAUGUCAUUCUCUUUGCCUGUGAUUAAUGUGAGUGCGUCAAACAUUACUACCACCACUACUACAUCAUCUUGUGAUCACGAUCAUAUUAGAUGAAGUGUAGAUUAUGUAUGGGGGUUGCGACAGGGUUUGAGAUUUUCUAAUUAUAAAGGGGGGUUAUUGUUUUAGUAUUGACUGGUUGUAUAUAUUAAUUGUAUACGGUUCAAUUGUUUUUUCAAAUUUGGAAUCACUGACUUGUAGAGAGAGAGAGAGAGAGAGAGAGAUUGGGUGCUUUUCUCAAGUAAUUUCACGUUCGUUUGCCACUAUAUAUUGUACUGAUGAUGUAAAAUCAGUAGGUGUUAGGUGUUUGGGAAAAAAUAAAAUAAAAUAAAAAUUCUAUCAGGAAUAAAAUAAUAUUCCAAUCUUAGUCUUUUAAAGAUAUAUUUUUCUAGCAUUGAAUUAAUUCUAUAGAAAAUUUUCUCACUGGGGAGGUGAAAUGAGUUCCAUAUCUUGAAAAUUGAUUGUACUUUUAUAAUU